Molecule: ribosomal RNA, 237 nt
Filed under: uncultured bacterium
Lineage: Bacteria
Description: partial 16S ribosomal RNA
Rfam family: Bacterial small subunit ribosomal RNA
Source: RNAcentral
UUUGCCUACGGGGGCAGCAGUGGGGAAUAUUGCACAAUGGGGGGAACCCUGAUGCAGCGACGCCGCGUGAGUGAAGAAGUAUUUCGGUAUGUAAAGCUCUGUCAGCAGGGAAGAAGAAAGACGGUACCUGACCAAGAAGCCCCGGCUAACUACGUGCCAGCAGCCGCGGUAAUACGUAGGUGGCAAGCGUUGUCCGGAAUUACUGGGUGUAAAGGGAGCGCAGGCGGGAAGCCAAGU